This 74-nucleotide transfer RNA is filed under the name Calditrichota bacterium. RNAcentral describes it as "Calditrichaeota bacterium (bioreactor metagenome) tRNA-Arg". It matches the Rfam family "tRNA". From Rfam's summary of the family: Transfer RNA (tRNA) molecules are approximately 80 nucleotides in length. Their secondary structure includes four short double-helical elements and three loops (D, anti-codon, and T loops). Further hydrogen bonds mediate the characteristic L-shaped molecular structure. tRNAs have two regions of fundamental functional importance: the anti-codon, which is responsible for specific mRNA codon recognition, and the 3' end, to which the tRNAs corresponding amino acid is attached (by aminoacyl-tRNA synthetases). tRNAs cope with the degeneracy of the genetic code in two manners: having more than one tRNA (with a specific anti-codon) for a particular amino acid; and 'wobble' base-pairing, i.e. permitting non-standard base-pairing at the 3rd anti-codon position. The record is from RNAcentral. Lineage: Bacteria; Pseudomonadati; Calditrichota.
GCGCCCGUAGCUCAAUUGGAUAGAGCGUUGGAUUCCGGUUCCAAAGGUUGGGGGUUCGAUUCCUCUCGGGCGUA